Molecule: ribosomal RNA, 413 nt
Filed under: uncultured bacterium
Lineage: Bacteria
Description: bacterial SSU rRNA
Rfam family: Bacterial small subunit ribosomal RNA
Source: RNAcentral
GUGCCAGCAGCUGCGGUAAUACAGAGGUGGCAAGCGUUGUUCGGAAUUACUGGGCGUAAAGGGCGCGUAGGCGGCCCGCUAAGUCCCGUGUGAAAUCCCUCGGCUCAACUGAGGAACUGCACGGGAAACUGACGGGCUUGAGUUCGGGAGAGGGAAGUGGAAUUCCGGGUGUAGCGGUGAAAUGCGUAGAUAUCCGGAGGAACACCGGUGGCGAAGGCGGCUUCCUGGACCGACACUGACGCUGAGGCGCGAAAGCUAGGGGAGCAAACGGGAUUAGAUACCCCGGUAGUCCUAGCUGUAAACGAUGAGCGCUGGGUGAAGGGGGUAUGAACCCCCCCUGUGCCGAAGCUAACGCAUUAAGCGCUCCGCCUGGGGAGUACGGUCGCAAGGCUGAAACUCAAAUGAAUUGACGG